This is a long non-coding RNA of Canis lupus familiaris (dog), 1058 nucleotides long. RefSeq lists it as uncharacterized. The transcript is spliced from 4 exons. The record is from RefSeq and is a predicted model, not a curated record. NCBI's taxonomy places the organism in Eukaryota, Metazoa, Chordata, Mammalia, Carnivora, Canidae.
CACAUACAGUAUUUCUUCAUUCUUCACAUCUUUGCGUAAGCCAGAAGACUCACAUAAAGCAAGUUGAAAGCUACACUACUUUAUCUUGCAGAGAGCCCAAUAUGGGGCACGGAGAGCUCAGUGGAGGUCCAAUACUUCUAGAAACCACUAGCCUAGAAUUCCCCAGUAAGUAAGAACGGGUACAGGAGCACCCUGCAUCCCGCCCUGCACUGGCACUGGAAGAGCCUGGGCUCACCUGCAUGAGCUCCGCGCGGACCGGCUGAAUGUGGUCAUAGAGGAAAUCAGGCUGCAGGUUGUCCACGCAUAACUCCAAGGUCCUCAGGCCCUGGCUGACCAACGUCUGUGACCCGUUGAGAGCAGACACCAAGGGGUCCAUGAGCAUGGGCAGGUAGGGCAGGAGCGAGCUCAGCCUCACAGGCACUGUGAGACACAGCUCCACGAAGAGGUCCUUCAUGUGCUGCUUAUGCAGGCCGCUCUGCAGCAUGUUCAGCCCUAAACACAGGGUUCAAGGACGGCAGAGAGGAGAGUUACUGCCAGACAGCCCAACACAAACUGUACAAGAAUUCCCCUAUGGGAAGAUAUCAUUCCUCAGAGACAACUGGUGAUAACAUUCAACUUUCUGCAGGAAUUAAAAUACUCUGCCUUCGGUGGAAGUACAUUUUUAUUAGGUUUUUUUGUUCUACCAUCUGCUGCUUUUUCAGUGGGAGAUGGAACCAGGGAUAUCAUACCUGAGAGUCUCUCGAGCAGUAUAUCCUGAUCCAAUUAGUAUGGAUUCAUCAAACAGCUUGUCCAUGCAAGAUGGCAUCAUGACCAAACCUCUUCCCUACUCCCCUGGAGGCCUGUAGACUUCACCAGGGUAGAAACAGCUGGUCUUCACUCGAAGACAAAUCACAUUUCUGAGGAUGUACAGAUAAGGCAGCAACCUACAUUUUUUAGGCCUCUCUUCCAUACUCCCCUAGGGAGCCCUGGCCACAAACAUCCAAAGGAUGUUUAGAUUCUGGAAUAAGCCUGGCAUUGUUGCCAGCGUCAGUAAAUCAAAUAAAAUAAAGUACACUCUC